GGAACGGGGGAGAAGAAGGGCACCGCGGCGGGAGGGAAGAAACAGAGCGAGCUACGCUGCAGGAGCGCAGUUACCAGCCGGCUGCGAUCACGUGCCUGGGAGGAGGAGCUGAGACCUCAGGGGAGGGGCGCGCGGUAGCGUCCCGGGUCCCCUAGCAGGGCUCUAGAGACCACGUGAAGUCUCCUCGGAGCUGGUGUAGUGAAGGAUGAAGAGAAGGCAAUGCAUUGGUUUAGACAAGCCUCCCAGCAGGACCAUCCUGGUGCUGCCUUUAACCUUGCAGUAGGAACACUGAAAAACAUGACUGCCUCCAUGGAAGCAGGGGAUGUAGAAAUGCUCCUUAAUGUUGCUGCAAAAUGGGGGAUCCAAGAAGCCCAAGAACUUCUGGAGAAUGUUAUUUGGACUAAAAGCAAGCUCUUGCCAACUGAAAGAACCAGGAGUUCUUAUAAACCAUAAUGUGUGCCUGCAUGCUCUUCCUGGAACAUGGGAUGUUCUGCUCUC
Homo sapiens (human) is the source of this 498-nucleotide long non-coding RNA. RefSeq annotates it as H2AZ1 divergent transcript. NCBI's taxonomy places the organism in Eukaryota, Metazoa, Chordata, Mammalia, Primates, Hominidae. The record is from RefSeq and is marked validated. The transcript has 4 exons.